AGAGGCUUAGGUUAGUUACUAGACCAAGGGCCUUCAAAGCCCUAAGCGGAAGUGAGAAUCUUUCAGCCCCUG
RNAcentral lists this transfer RNA (72 nucleotides) under Gerres erythrourus. Its description in RNAcentral is "tRNA-Trp". It matches the Rfam family "tRNA". Rfam says of the family: Transfer RNA (tRNA) molecules are approximately 80 nucleotides in length. Their secondary structure includes four short double-helical elements and three loops (D, anti-codon, and T loops). The record is from RNAcentral. Lineage: Eukaryota; Metazoa; Chordata; Actinopteri; Gerreiformes; Gerreidae. RNAcentral also lists the same sequence under 1 other name.